Non-coding RNA from Podospora pseudopauciseta, 71 nucleotides. The record is from the annotation of a RefSeq genome assembly. NCBI's taxonomy places the organism in Eukaryota, Fungi, Ascomycota, Sordariomycetes, Sordariales, Podosporaceae.
UGGCGGGCCAGGAGUCGAACAUGGGUCUUCGCUCAAACUCAGGACCGUAAUGACCGCUAUACCACCGCGCC